CCUACGGGUGGCUGCAGUGGGGAAUUUUGGACAAUGGGCGCAAGCCUGAUCCAGCCAUUCCGCGUGAGUGAAGAAGGCCUUCGGGUUGUAAAGCUCUUUCGCAAGGGAAGAAAACUUAUCCUCUAACAUAGGAUGAGGUUGACGGUACCUUGAUAAGAAGCACCGGCUAACUACGUGCCAGCAGCCGCGGUAAUACGUAGGGUGAUAACGGGAAUCAAAGUUACCGGGCGUAGAGUGUGCGGACAGAUGUGAAAUCCCCGAGCUCAACUUGGGAACUGCGUUUGAAACUACAAGACUAGAAUAGGUCAGAGGGGGGUAGAAUUCCACGUGUAGCAGUGAAAUGCGUAGAGAUGUGGAGGAAUAUCAAUGGCGAAGGCAGCCCCCUGGGAUCAUAUUGACGCUCAUGCACGAAAGCGUGGGGAGCAAACAGGAUUAGAUACCCUUGUAGUC
This 450-nucleotide ribosomal RNA is filed under the name uncultured bacterium. Its description in RNAcentral is "partial 16S ribosomal RNA". It matches the Rfam family "Bacterial small subunit ribosomal RNA", at positions 338 to 795 of the family's 1533-position model. The record is from RNAcentral.